GUUUAUAUUACACUGAUAUGGCAUGUUUGUCUUUUAUGUGAUACAACAUUGGGAUCUAAAGGAUAACAUCACAGCAAGCUUCUGUUAUAGUAUACAGCCCCAUAAUAAUAGGUAAUCUUUUCUACCUCUGAUAAAUUUUAUCAAUCUUUAUGCUACUAACUCUCUUCGGUUUGUGCUUUUUUAAAUUUACAAUGCCGAGUGAAAUCUUGAUUAUGCUCUCAAUUUUCUUUUCCCUCAUUUGUUUUUUUAUCUGUCAUGUGGGAACUCCAAGUCAUUUUCCACUACUUUGAAGUGUUGAGGCUUCUGUCCAGAGCAGUGGAGGUUCCACAUUUUGAAGUAUGACCUCUCAAGAUUCUUCACCUGUAGUAGUAAACCAAUGGGAAACUAACUGGUUAAAGAAACAAACCGGAACAAGAGAGGAAUGGAGAUAAGAACCAAG
RNAcentral lists this long non-coding RNA (439 nucleotides) under Brassica napus (rape). Its description in RNAcentral is "long non-coding RNA (BNAP_LNC024954)". Lineage: Eukaryota; Viridiplantae; Streptophyta; Magnoliopsida; Brassicales; Brassicaceae. The record is from RNAcentral.